This 253-nucleotide ribosomal RNA is filed under the name uncultured bacterium. Its description in RNAcentral is "partial 16S ribosomal RNA". It matches the Rfam family "Bacterial small subunit ribosomal RNA", at positions 524 to 776 of the family's 1533-position model. The record is from RNAcentral.
UACGUAGGGGGCAAGCGUUGUCCGGAUUUAUUGGGCGUAAAGAGCGUGUAGGCGGCCGCACAGGUCCGUUGUGAAAACUGGAGGCUUAACCUUCAGACGUCGAUGGAAACCGUGCGGCUAGAGUCCGGAAGAGGAGAAUGGAAUUCCUGGUGUAGCGGUGAAAUGCGCAGAUAUCAGGAGGAACACCAAUGGCGAAGGCAGCUCGCUGGGACGGUACUGACGCUGAGGCGCGAAAGCUAGGGGAGCAAACGGG